Molecule: long non-coding RNA, 493 nt
Organism: Uranotaenia lowii
Lineage: Eukaryota; Metazoa; Arthropoda; Insecta; Diptera; Culicidae
Exons: 2
Source: RefSeq, a predicted model, not a curated record
ACUCAUGUAUCAUUAACAAUAAAUAUAAAUAUCUAAUGAUUCAAACAAUCUUAAUGAUAAAAACUGUGUUUUUGAAAAAUCUUUUCGCUUGGCACCACUGAUUGUUUGCAGCCCUUCGCCACGCCAGCCAUGUUUGCCGCGGUAUUUGUUUUGCUUCUCGACGGAAGGACGAAAUUUACAAAGAAGUGCCAUCAAGUUUAGAGAUUUUGGAACGCCGGUAUCAAUCUUCCGAUAGACUACAUCUAAUUUUCCAAAGGAUGACCAAAUCAAGUAGCCAUCAGAAGGCGGUUCUGGCGACGCGAUGCCGGUCAAAGUUUCAACACCGCGGCGAAGAACAUCGGGAUGUUUUUUGCAACAGGCUUUUCUGCUACACAAUUUUGGCACAAAAUUGACUGGGGAAGCUAUCAGAACCGGACAUCUGACGCCUGAUUGAGGAAUAAACAAUAAGAUGCAAUAAGAUAAUGAUUAUAUAAAUAAAAUGAUAAUCCGGAAA